AAACUGUUAUAAAAUCAAACACAGCUGCAUUAGAUUAUUUUAAUAACAGCACAGUAAGUAGCCUACACAAACUUGAAAAUAGGUCAUUUGAUGAAGGUGACUUGAUAAGGAAAGGUCAACUGCUUAGUAUUUUAAUAUUUUCUUUAUAAUUAUAUUUACACAGUAAGAAAGUACGUACAUUUUAUACAAUCCCCUUUACUCUUUUUUUUGUCUUGUACCUUUUAAAAAUAUAUCCAUAUAUCGUGUGCCCUGCCACGAUAUUUCACACCUGUUCGAUCACAAUCUAAUAUUUCGUUUUGACUCUUCCAGUAGAGGGCUGUUCGAGAGCAUGCGCACAACCGCAGCAAGAGAACAUUAUUCCUCCUGUCACCAGUGCCUGUCACAACAUUGAGGGGCAAAACGACAGCAGUGUGGUCUCUGGCUUCUAAUAGAUCUGUGAAGACAUAGAAUGUGAUUGGAAUGGAAGCUCGGAGAAGGAGUCCCUGAUUGGCUGAAAGACUGGGCGGGUGCACAUACCAAACGAAUCGAUCCUGUCUCAAAUGAUGCAGGCAGAGGAUAGGAAGAAAAGGAGUUUCAGCAAGGGCGUGGCGGAGGAAUAUUGUCUAAGAGAGCGACCAAACGAGGACACUGUAAAAAUGAAGAACAAAGUGACAAGCACACAAGCAGUGAGGGGUAAGAAGAAGGCAUGGUCGUGGGAUCAAUACCUGGGAGAGAAGAAGGUCAUAGCAGCUCCCCUAAGACUCUUCACUGAGGUAAGCAUCACCUUCAUCAACCAGUAGGUAUAUAGUGCAUUCGGAAAGUAUUUUUGUUACGUUACAGCCUUAUUCUAAAAUUGAUUCAAUUGUUGUUUUUUCCCCAUCAAUCUACACACAAUACCUCAUAAUGACAAAGCAAAAAUCUAGUCAAAAUAAAUAAAUAUCACAUUUUACAUUAGAAUUCAGAUCCUUUGCUCAGUACUUUGUUGAAGCACCUUUGGCAACUUGAGGCUGUUAUCAUUUUCUUGGGUAUCAAGCUAUAAGCUUGGCACACUUGUAUUUGGGGAGUUUCUCCCAUUCUUCUCUGCAGAUCCUCUCAAGCUCUGUCAGGUUGGAUGGGGAGUGUCGCUGCACUGCUAUUUUCAGGUCUUUCCAGAUAUGUUUGAUCGGUUUCCAGUCCGGGCUCUGGCUUGGUCACUCAAAGACAUUCAGAGACUUGCCCCGAACCACUCCCACAUUGUCUUGGCUGUGUGCUUCAGGUCGUUGUCCUGUUGGAAUGUCUGGAGUGCUCUGAAGCAGGUUUUCAUCAAUGAUCUCUCUGUACUUUCCUCUGUUCUUCUUUCCCUCGAUCCUGACUAGUCUCCCAGUCCCUGCCGCUGAAAAACAUCCCCACAGCAUGAUGCUGCCACCACCAUGCCUCACGGUAGGGAUGGUGUCAGGUUUCCUCCAGACGUGACACUUGGAAUUCAGGCUAAAGAGUUCAAUCUUGGUUUCAUCAGACCAGAGAAUCUUGUUUCUCAUGAUCCGAGAGACGUUUAGGUGCCUUUUGGCAAACCCCAAGCGGGCUGUCAUGUGCCUUUUAUUGAGGAGUUUAUUUUUGUAAUUUUAUUUCACCUUUAUUUAACCAGGUAGGCUAGUUGAGAACAGGUUCUCAUUUACAACUGCAACCUGGCCAAGAUAAAGCAUAGCAGUGUGAACAGACAACAACACAGAGUUACACAUGGAGUAAACAAUAAACAAGUCAAUAACAGAGUAGGAAAAAAAGAGUCUAUAUACAUUGUGUGCAAAAGGCAUGAGGAGGUAGGCAUUAAAUAGGCCAUAGGAGCGAAUAAUUAGAAUUUAGCAGAUUAACACUGGAGUGAUAAAUGAUCAGAUGGUCAUGUGCAAGUAGAGAUACUGGUGUGCAAAAGAGCAGAAAGUAAAUAAAUAAAAACAGUAUGGGGAUGAGGUAGGUAAAUUGAGUGGGCUAUUUACAGAUGGACUAUGUACAGCUGCAGCGAUCGGUUAGCUGCUCAAAUAGCAGAUGUUUGAAGUUGGUGAGGGAGAUAAGUCUCCAACUUCAGCAAUUUUUGCAAUUCUUUCCAGUCACAGGCAGCAGAGAACUGGAACGAAAGGCGGCCAAAUGAGGUGUUGGCUUUAGGGAUGAUCAGUGAGAUACACCUGCUGGAGCGCGUGCUACGGGUGGGUGUUGCCAUCGUGACCAGUGAACUGAGAUAAGGCGGAGCUUUACCUAGCAUGGACUUGUAGAUUACCUGGAGCCAGUGGGUCUGGCGACGAAUAUGUAGCGAUAUGAGUCUGGAAGGAGAGUUUACAGUCUAGCCAGACACCUAGGUACAUAUAGAUGUCCACAUAUUCUAGGUCGGAACCAUCCAGGGUGGUGAUGCUAGUCGGGCAUGCGGGUGCAGGCAGCGAACGGUUGAAAAGCAUGCAUUUGGUUUUACUAGCGUUUAAGAGCAGUUGGAGGCCACGGAAGGAGUGUUGUAUGACAUUGAAGCUCGUUUGGAGGUUAGAUGGCACAGUGUCCAAGGAAGGGCCAGAGGUAUACAGAAUGGUGUCGUCUGCGUAGAGGUGGAUCAGGGAAUCGGCCGCAGCAAGAGCAACAUCAUUGAUAUAUACAGAGAAAAGAGUCGGCCCGAGAAUUGAACCCUGUGGUACCCCCAUAGAGACUGCCAGAGGACCGGACAACAUGCCUUCCGAUUUGACACACUGAACUCUGUCUACAAAGUAGUUGGUGAACCAGGCAAGGCAGUUAUUAGAAAAACAGAGGCUACUGAGUCUGCCGAUAAGAAUAUGGUGAUUGACAGAGUCGAAUGCCUUGGCCAGGUCGACGAAGACGGCUGCACAGUACUGUCUUUUAUUGAUGGUGGUUAUGAUAUCGUUUAGUACCUUGAGCGUGGCUGAGGUGCACCCGUGACCGUCUUGGAAACCGGAUUGCACAGCGAAGAAGGUACUGUCGGAUUCGAGAUGGUCAGUGAUCUGUUUGUUAACUUGGCUUUCGAAGACCUUAGAUAGGCAGGGCAGGAUGGAUAUAGGUCUAACAGUUUGGGUCUAGGGUGU
Oncorhynchus mykiss (rainbow trout) is the source of this 3032-nucleotide long non-coding RNA. NCBI's taxonomy places the organism in Eukaryota, Metazoa, Chordata, Actinopteri, Salmoniformes, Salmonidae. The record is from Ensembl.